GGCGAGCGGCGGACGGGUGAGUAAUGUCUGGGAAACUGCCUGAUGGAGGGGGAUAACUACUGGAAACGGUAGCUAAUACCGCAUGACCUCGAAAGAGCAAAGUGGGGGAUCUUCGGACCUCACGCCAUCGGAUGUGCCCAGAUGGGAUUAGCUAGUAGGUGAGGUAAUGGCUCACCUAGGCGACGAUCCCUAGCUGGUCUGAGAGGAUGACCAGCCACACUGGAACUGAGACACGGUCCAGACUCCUACGGGAGGCAGCAGUGGGGAAUAUUGCACAAUGGGCGCAAGCCUGAUGCAGCCAUGCCGCGUGUGUGAAGAAGGCCUUAGGGUUGUAAAGCACUUUCAGCGAGGAGGAAGGCAUCACACUUAAUACGUGUGGUGAUUGACGUUACUCGCAGAAGAAGCACCGGCUAACUCCGUGCCAGCAGCCGCGGUAAUACGGAGGGUGCAAGCGUUAAUCGGAAUUACUGGGCGUAAAGCGCACGCAGGCGGUUUGUUAAGUCAGAUGUGAAAUCCCCGCGCUUAACGUGGGAACUGCAUUUGAAACUGGCAAGCUAGAGUCUUGUAGAGGGGGGUAGAAUUCCAGGUGUAGCGGUGAAAUGCGUAG
Molecule: ribosomal RNA, 607 nt
Filed under: Rahnella sp. EECC-323
Lineage: Bacteria; Pseudomonadati; Pseudomonadota; Gammaproteobacteria; Enterobacterales; Yersiniaceae
Description: bacterial SSU rRNA
Rfam family: Bacterial small subunit ribosomal RNA
Source: RNAcentral